UACGUAGGGGGCAAGCGUUGUCCGGAUUUAUUGGGCGUAAAGAGCGUGUAGGCGGCCAGGUAGGUCCGUUGUGAAAACUCGAGGCUCAACCUCGAGACGUCGGCGGAAACCCUCUGGCUAGAGUCCGGAAGAGGAGAGUGGAAUUCCUGGUGUAGCGGUGAAAUGCGCAGAUAUCAGGAGGAACACCGAUGGCGAAGGCAGGUCUCUGGGCCAUAACUGACGCUGAGAAGCGAAAGCAUGGGGAGCGAACAGG
Molecule: ribosomal RNA, 253 nt
Filed under: uncultured bacterium
Lineage: Bacteria
Description: partial 16S ribosomal RNA
Rfam family: Bacterial small subunit ribosomal RNA
Source: RNAcentral